This 76-nucleotide transfer RNA is filed under the name Sphingobium sp. V4. RNAcentral's name for it is "tRNA-Pro". Lineage: Bacteria; Pseudomonadati; Pseudomonadota; Alphaproteobacteria; Sphingomonadales; Sphingobiaceae. The record is from RNAcentral.
GAGGAUUUCCGCGCCAUACGGCGCUAGGCGUUGCCUUCGGGAGGCAGGGGCCGGAGGUUCGAAUCCUCUUUCCCCG